UCCGCGGGCGGGGGCCGAGCGCGUGUGUGCUCGAGAGCGACGGGCGGCGGCGGGAGGAGGCGCAGGCGCGCUGUUCGCCCGUCUGCAGCCCCGCGCCGAGCGCCGCGUCUCGGGGAGUUGAUGGCAGCACCACAGUGCGGCCGCCCGGCCGUGCGCCGAGCGCAGCCAGCAGCCGCUGCCCUGGGAGCGUCCAAGAUGUGGUGGGAUCGGGGCGGCCGCAGCGGCGCCAGGGACCGGGGCGCGCAGCAGGCUCCGCUCGCCCGCCUGUGCUGACCUGCCUCACUUGCCCCAAAGAAUGUCAGCCAAGUCCAAGGGGACCCCCUCCUCGUCCUCUCCAGCCGAGGGACCGCCGGCAGCCUCCAAAACCAAGGUGAAGGAACAGAUCAAGAUCAUCGUGGAGGAUCUGGAAUUAGUCCUGGGCGACCUGAAGGACGUGGCCAAGGAACUUAAGGAGGUGGUUGACCAGAUUGAUACCCUGACCUCUGACCUACAGCUGGAGGAUGAGAUGACUGACAGCUCCAAAACGGACACCCUCAAUAGUAGCUCCAGCGGCACGACAGCCUCCAGCAUAGAGAAGAUCAAAGUGCAGGCCAAUGCCCCUCUCAUUAAACCCCCAGCCCACCCAUCUGCUAUCCUCACGGUCCUGAGAAAGCCCAACCCUCCGCCACCUCCUCCGCGGCUGACACCUGUGAAGUGUGAAGACCCCCAACGGGUGGUGCCCGCUGUCAACCCGGUCAAGACCAACGGCACCCUUGUGCGAAAUGGAGGCUUCCCAGGGGCACCAAACAAAAUUCCAAACGGAGACAUCUGCUGCAAACCCAGCAGUCGCUUGGACAAGGCUCCGGUGCAGGCUCUGAUGCAUAGACCUGAGAAAGACAGGUGCCCCCCAGCAGGGCCGCGGGAACGAGUUCGGUUUAAUGAAAAAGUGCAGUACCAUGGCUAUUGCCCUGACUGUGACACCCGGUAUAACAUCAGAAACAGGGAGGUCCACUUGCACAGCGAGCCCGUCCACCCGCCAGGAAAGCUCCCUCCCCAAGGCCCUCCCCACCCUCCGCCCUCACAUCUCCCUCCUUUCCCAGUAGAAAAUGGGGGGCUGGGAAUAAGCCACAGUAACAGCUUCCCCCCUCUCAGACCUGCAACUGUGCCUCCUCCCACUGCACCAAAACCGCAGAAGACGAUCUUGAGGAAAUCGACCACUACAACAGUGUGAUAUAUGCCAUUUAAAAAAAGACUUUUUCUUUUUUUUUAAUUUCUAUAUUAUAAACAUAAAAUAAUAAGUAAUGAGCACUUUCUACUCAAGCAAUAAAAAGCCCAAAUAUAUUUAUCCUGCAUUCAGCAAAGUGGCAUAAAAAUCACCUGAUCACACUUACCAAUGGACAAAAGUUCACUUCUUAACUACCAUGAUUUGGACCGAUCAUAUGAUUUGCCCUGGAGUUAGAAAUGAGUCGACUGCCUUAGAAUCGUGAUGACAGGUGCGUGCCUGAGCAAAAUGUGUUCCUGAAGUGGCAGGAGUAGAGGGAGUCAUCUUUGGUGGAGAUGUGAUUAUUCUGCAUCUUAAAAAAAAGAGUCCUGUAAUAUUUUUGAACAUUUGGCUUUCAAUCUCAAAACUUUAAUUUUCACUGCUAUAGGAAGUUAGUUUUCAAUUGUAUUUCCUUUUUGCCUUUUUCAAGCUAUAUUAUCAUAAUUUGGUAUGCUGUUUUUAAACAACUUCUUAGUAAAAGAUGCUAAUAUAUUUUAGGCAUAAUGCCAUAAGGAAAAUAGGUUUAUUUUUAAAGAAACAAUCAAACAAGUAAAAAAUAGAGACAUCAUGUUGAAAAUUUACUCAGCAUGAUUUUUGUUCUGUGUGUGUUGGACUUGAUGAUAAUGCAAGGCAGAAUAUAUCCGACUUGUCAGAAAGUUACAAAACAUAAGACCAGUAAUCAAGAAAGGCCCUAAUCUAAAAUGUAUUAACUAUAUAUCACUAUGUUUAAUAAAUAUGAGCCAGGUAGAUAAAUAAUUGACUCAUUGAAUACCAAAAUAAUAUGUAUAUUCUCAACAUUUUAAUGCAUUCAUUUAGGCUUGUUAUAAACAAACUUGGGGUUUCAUCACUUUUCUAGAUUUAAAUAAUUACUUCCUUUCAAAUAUCCAUCCAGUGUAAGAAGUUUUGAUAUUACAAAUGAUGUUAGAAGACAUACAGUUUUCUCCCUUUGGCCCACCUUCCUUUCACAGCCAGUUACUGUGAACUAAUAAUUACCUAAUAGUUUGAGACUUUGUCCCUUGUCAGUCUCUGGGAUCCAAUCUGGAUGUCAAGGUAGAGCUUACUAACAACCCAGAUCAUCCACAAAGCAGAUAACUCAUUUGCAAUAAAGCAAGCUGAGUAAGCUGGGCCAUCUAAGCUGGUUGAAUAAGGGCAUUUGAGCCAGAUGCCUAGACACAACCUCUGAGGUUCAAAUCUCUCUCUCCCUCAAGGUAGAGACAAAGCUACCCCAGGAAAGACCAUCUUUUUAUGUUUGAUUACUGACAUAUGCCAAAACCACAGCACCUUUUCUUUUUAACACAUUUAUACGUAACUGUGGGCCUAUAAAGCUGAAUUAAAUCCCCACCUAAAAAGCUACAGUUAUUGACCUUCUUCUCUUAUUACAGUUUGUUUAUUACAUAGUCAACAUUAAAUGUUAGAUUACAGCAGUGUUGGGACUUUUUAAAAUUUUAUUUGCUCCAUAUGUUACUUUUUUUUUCUCUAAUGUAUGGAAUAUAUUGGGCCAAUAGGUUUUUUUGGCCCAAUUGAUAAUUUUGCAACGUUCAGUGGAACCUAGUCAUGUCUUUAAAUAUACAUAAACUUGUAAAACAUGGAAAGCAAUUAACAUAGAGUGUCAUAAUAUUUGCCUGGAAACUUGUAAUUAAAGUGUCAUAAGUGGCAGUGCAGUUUUUGUCAUCAGCCAGCAUUACUUUCAAAAUUUAAAUUCUGAAGUGCAAGCUCUGCACAAGGUUCAUUUAACCAUCAUAAAGCACAGUCUGUCUGUCCUUUUCCUGAAGAUACCAAGGCAGAAAUGCUUUUUAUCAGAUCCUUAAAGGCAGGUUGUUUUCUGGCAAUAUGAUUUAAUUCUUUUAUUCACACGGAGAGAGUACCUAAGAGCUGGCCUUCAUCCUCCUUUGAUGGUGAUGUUCCUACAAAAUGUAAAAUAGUCGUACUGCUUAUGACGACAUCCACUCACAGUGAAAGGGAGCCUAUGGUUCAAAAAACAUGGUGGCCGUGAAUUAAACUGGAAUAGGAAAGAUUUUGUCCUAUUAAUUUAAACACAGAUUGUCCCAUUUUUUGUGAUGAAAGGUUAUUGUAUCUCCACUGAUGAAAGGUGAAAAGUGACUAAAACUUGCCCAAAGUUAUCUCCCAUCUCUCAGUAGCUAUAGCAGUUAUAAAAGGAAAUAAAACUGAUAAUUUUUAGGCCAUGCUUAAGCUAAAUAUAAAGCAUCUGCUCAAAAGCACAGGGCAUGCGAGAGAAAUUUCCCAGUCUUCAAUUUAAUGUUAUGUUCAUACCUCCUUUCGUUAGUUUAAUAAUAGCCUAUGGGGAAAAAAGAAGUCUGCUAUUAACUGAAGUGGUUUAAUUAACCUAAAAAAGCUUGUGUUUGAGUUAUGCCUGCAUCAGAGUAUUUAAUGAAUAAAGGAAUAAGGCACUGUAUUAUAUGGCUUCCUUUGGACAGAUCAGUCGUUGCUUUUAACAGAACCAAGAGCAGUAGCUACACACAGCUUCUGAAACUAUGGAAGACCUUGUAUCUACAGAUUCUAAUUAUAGCUCUUUUUGGAUGCUCCGUGAAGAAAAGCUUGAGUAGUUCCACAUGUAAUUGCACUUGGAAUGGUGUAAUCAAGUCAUGAAUCCCUGCCUUGACUGAACUUUUUUCCUGUGGAGUAUAGGCGUUAAUGUAACGGCAAGUCUUGUAAAUUGUCCUGAUUCAGUUUCUUUCCCUAGAUUCUCGGUUGGUAGCACAUUCUGCUAUCAUGUACACUCAGAUGUGUAGCAAAAGAUUGCAUUGUAAUGUGCAUUGGUAUGUACUUAUGAUUUCUAAGUGAGGAAAUGAUUUAUGAGCAUUAAAAUUCCACAUCACAUAGUUAGGCAGAAUGCACAGAAUCUGGCAAUUACUAGACAUGAUUGCAAAAUCACACGACAUUUCUGGGUCAAUGUGGAACCAGGACACGGGAUUCAAAUUUUCAGAUUAAAUGUUUUGGAGCUUUAGAAUCGUUCAGUCCCCUGAUACUGAAAUAAUGACAGGUGAGAUGCUAUCAUUAGGGCCAGCAGCAGUGUUGAACAUAAAACCACAUUAGCCAUGUCUUCGUGGAGGAUCAAUUAUGUAGGGUGUCAUUUCAUUGAAGGCGCUUGGAUUUAUCAUUCUGCUCUUUUUGGAAAAAACUAAAGUGGAUCAUAAAGAAGCUCUGCAAGUAACCCUCUCUUGAAAAUGUAGUUAAAUCGACGUGGGAUAUAGAAUUAAGUGAAGGCCAAGGGAAAAUACUUAGGAAAUAUUGCUUAUGAUUUAUGACUUCUAGAGUGAUGAAAGACAGGUAAACUAAUAUUUUUGACUGCUUUCUGAAACUUUACAUACAUUAGUUUUUCUAAGGCUCAUAUGAUGCAUAAAAUAGAUAUUAUCCUGAUUUACAAACUGAAGAAAUCCAGGACCUCAGUUUCAGUUUUUUGCCAAAACUGACCCCUUAAGUUACUGCUUGGUGUUUUCGUGUCAGCAUGGCAUCCCGUGAUUUUUUCCCCACAACACCACCAUUUAAUUGUGUUCUUCAUAGCCCUGAACUUUGCAGAUCUUUCCUUUUUUCUGAGGAGUUAUUUUGACGGUUGAAAGGGGUUACCUAAUGUUAUUUUGACAUUCUUAAUAUGUUUGAUCUUUGCAGAAUGUGAAGGGAUUUCAGGCAAUUUAGCAAGCGUCAAACAUGAAUGAGCUGUUGAAUAAUGCAAGCCUCAUUUUCUCAUGUAUUGUAUCAGAGGCUUCACCUUUCUAUUUUUUUCCCUUAAGUUCAAAGGCUGUCUAUUAUUUUGGAUUUUUUUUCCUCAGAAGUUCUGAUUUCACAGUAUUAAUGUCAUUUGACAGUAACUGUGUUGCUUCCAUUACUGGUAUUUCAUCUGUGAGUUUCCUCUAUUUAACAUUGACCCCUACAGCUAAAAAUAGCAAUAGAUCCACUCUGUGGAACCACUGAAGAACCAGUGCAUUAGAACGUGAGUAAAAGCUUUUCCAUCCUUUUGUUAUUAUAGAUAUGAUUUUUCCACUACUUGUUAAUGUAGUUGUCAAUUCUUCUAACCACCAAAGGGAAUUUUGAAUCAGUGAAAUGAAACAGUGUGCCCGUGGGUAGGUUAGAGAUGAUGUUGACCAUACAAGAGAUCUAACCCUUACCAAGGGCUUGCUUUGUGCCACACAUUCUUCUAUGUGUUUGAAUGUGUUAUUUUUCCUUCAUAGCAUCAUUUUUCCCUCCUAACACCCAGUGUUUUGCACACUAUUAUUAUCUACAUUUUACAAAUGAGGAAAUUGUCACUGAGACCUGCCACUCAAGGUCAUAGAGCCAGGAAGUGGUCAAGCCAGGACUGUAAGGCAGGCAGGCAGCUUCCACAGCCCGUGUUCUCUCCACUGCCUUUCGGAACUGCCCAAAGCACGACCCCUGCCUAAUGCCCAGGUCAUCUGUAGAGCUUACAGUCAUUUCACUGAAACAUGCUUGAAGAGGUUUUUGGAAGAAAUUUUUUUUAAUGUCUAUUUCUGUAUAAGUCAAGGUGUGGUAGCAAACAACUCCGGUUUCUCAGAGGCAUCCGAGUUAUUUCCUGCUCACCCUAAGCUUACUGUGAGUCCAGGAGACUCUCCAGGGCAGGUGUCCUUCAUUCAGCAAUAAAGGCUGUGUGGAAUGUGUGCCUCUACCACCUGGCCGUGUGUCCUCCUCCAGAACCGCUACAACGGAGGAUUGGGAGACUGGAGAAUCUUACCAUGUUUUUAACUCAGCCUUUUAUUCAUGUCGUUGGCCAAGAGUCACAUGGCCCUUCCCGCAGUCCCUUCAGGGAGGAGAAGGAGAUCCGCACAUGGGUGAGUACCAGUUAUGCCUACCAUGGUUCCCAAAGGAGUCAUUUUUUUGGUAUGUAUAUAAUUUGAAUACGUUAUAGGCCUCCUUUCUUUCCUUUUCAUAUUACUUGAUACUUGUUUUAAUCUCACUGUAAAUUAUAGAUGUCAUCUUAGUUUAAACAAAGAUGGAGAAAAGAAAUGAAUCUAACAUCUGACUUGCUAAAAAUGUAGUGGAGGGAAUUGACAACAUUCAUUGAAGGUGAGGGGUGAAUUUUAUCACAGCCUUUAGCUACCAUAUUUGAAUUCUAUCUGAGGCUACGCACCAACCUAUGUUUUUUAGUUAAGUGUUUGAGAAUUGCAUACUAGAUUUUCUUUAGUUAAAUUUCCGAGUGAAGAUGUUUUCAGUAAAUUAGGUUACUAUAUGAAUAAACCUUAUCUGAAGACACGUACUUAUCUAGAAUAGUCGAAAAAAAAUGAAACUCUACUACAGAAAUUUGCCAUUGAUAAAGUAAAUUAUGACAUGUGUAUUUAUAAUAUGAACUUAGAGGGCAGUAUAUUAGGAUAAAAGUGUAAGUUUGAAAUGAGAAGUCCUGGAUUUGAGUCUCAAUUUUCUCAUCUCUCAUGUGUUCCUGGUCAAAUUGCUUGAUCUGGCCUGAGUUUGCUUUAAGAUGAACAUAAUGGUGCCACUGUUCUCUAGCUAAUAGUGUUCCUGAGUCACUGUCCUCCCCUUGCAUUUUCUGGGCUCACCAAAUCCUCUGUUACAAAGGAUCUGCAAUGCGGAUAAGCAGCUUCAGGAUUCAGCAAGUCUGUAACCUUUGGAGCAAUUGAAUAGGCACAGUCACCAAAUGGUUCCACCUUACGUUUUGCAUAUGUCAGAAACACCUCCCACUCCUCCUUGUAGCACCCUCCAGGCUGGAACUAAGGAGCCUGUGUACGGCAGUGUAGCUAAGUACUGUUUACUCCGUGACUUGUUUUCAGUUCCAUUGUAUUAUUUGCAUGGGAAGAGAGCUCUGCUGACACACUGCGUCACACACAUUGCAGUUCAGGCAUGACUUCUGCUUUGUUUAUUUGCUCAAACUCCCACUAUUUUUUGGCUCAUCUCUCUCUUGUCACAAAAAUAGAAAUGUCAUGCAUUUCCCCUACCUUAGUUUGUCUAUACCUUCACAGGGUACUUGUUCCCCAAAGUGCCAGGUUUCAAGCACUGUGUUUCUACUGUAGCAACACUGGUACACUAACCAUUCCCUACUACCAUGCAGUGUCCUGACCUUUAUUACCUCCUCUAAAGGAUACCACCUUCCAACUUGUUAUAAGGCCCUAAGGAUUUAAUGAAUGUGAAAGUACUUCACUAACAGGAAAACCUCAUAAAAUGCAGUUCAUUGUCAUCAGUUUAUGGUAUUUCUUACCCAUGUUCCUCGUUAAUCUGGUGGAUUUGUGUAUGCCUACGUUGAUGCUAAUGAUAUUUAUUCAUCUCAUUUAUAAAGUAAUUAUUUUACAUAGUUUUAUUAGUUACUAUUAUUAAGCCUAAUGAUUUUCUUAGAACCUUGCCAGUUCAUAUGUAGAACUCUCAUUGAUUUAAAAGAUUUUGUGAAUUAGUCAGAAAAUGAACAUGAUAGAAAUUCUAGGUGACUACAACAGAGAGCACAGUUUAUUAAACCGUUUUGACAAGUGUAGCUUAAUUUUAAUUAUUUAUGAUAAUAUUUAAUAGCACAUGAGUAAAUUCAUUUAGGAUAUAAUUUGUCAAGCUAAUAAAGUCUAAUGCCUCUAGGCCUUUAUAAAUCUCCUAAAAAUGUUUGUUCAAAUAAGGAAUUAAAUCAUCAAGAUUUUGUUUAAAAAAGGAAUGUCUGUGUUUGUGGUUAAAAACAUCAUUUGUCAGUGAUAUUAUUAAAAAUUGCCAAAGCAUUAACUAUAAUUUUGCUUUUAAACAAAGGCUGUGAUAUGCUUGAGUAUAUGUUUCAGUGAGGUACCUUUCAAAAGGACUAAGAACUGAAGCUUUUUGAUCACAGUGAUUUGUGGCUUAAGUGUAGGUAAAUUAAUAUUGCUAAUAACAGUCCAAAAUUAUAAUCUGAAAGUAUUAUUUUCUAAUAACUCAAACCACUCUUUCAGACAAAACCUGAAUAUUUGGAUUUAUUUUACCUUUCUCCAAAACUUCAUAGUUGUAUCAAAUAAUGUCUGCUUUUUGCUUGAUAUUUGAAAUACAGUACUGAUGUUCUAGGUUUGUUUUUUGUUUUUAAGAUGUCAUUUUCUGAGUGGAUUUAUUAUUUGUAAUACAGAGAAUUAAUAUUAAAAAUAGAUCCUCUAUAUGACUUGCCAAAGAUCUUCUGAUCAUCAAAGCUCCAGUUCUCAGUCAGAUUUAACUUCUGCAUCUCCCUUGUUCCUUUUAUCCAAAUAAUUUGAAUUUUUUUGCCAAGUCUUUUUUGUUUUUUGUAGUAACACCAUUCCCAAUCACACUAUCCUCAGAGAGGCUUUUAUCCCCUAAAUUCUGACAUUACAUUGCCACAUGCUUGUCACUCAAACGUUUGCCUGCACUUCCAGUCCAUUCUGCAGAUAUCCAACAGAGACAUUUUCCUUUCAUUUUCUCAUCUCAAUCCAGAAAUUUUGAAGGCUCAGAAUAAUCUGCUAUUUGAAAUUCUGAACUCUGGGCAUGGCAUUUCUAGGGAAAACUCUUCUAAGGCUGCUUUUACAAGGGCCCACUCUGGGGAGUUCAACACUAAUCAGACUGCUCCAGCCAAGGAGUCUAAAGGACUGACCCACUGCUGUGCCCUAUUCAGUUCCUAUUGCUGCGCCUUCCCUUGAACAUGUGGCCCCAACCUGAAAUAAUUUCUCCUCUCUAUUACAAGAGAGUAGGUUUUGUAAAUCAUGCUCUGUUGAUUUCAACUAUUUAUCUGAUUCCUUUCCUAACAAAUAAAAUAAAAUUUAAUGUAAAAAAAAAAACCCCACUGUGGUGGUAAAGUGGGUAAAACAUGGGUAAAAACAAAACUUGAAGAUGCAUAUGGAAAAAAUAUCUUAACUAUUAGUUAAAUAAAUAUGAAUUUAAGUGAAUAUUAUUUCUUAAAUUAACAUUAUACAAGGGUAUUUACCAUCUACUCUCACUAGCAAAAAAUCCAUAUGAUAUUAGAGUAGAAGAAAUUCACAAUAGUUAAAUCCAAUACCUUCACUUAAUGGGUUAGAAAAUUGACCUCUUAGGAGGACAAAGCAACUCAUGCAGAUCCAUGUACAGAAAUAUAAGUUUCCUCACUUGAUAAAAAAUUUAUUCCUAUUAAUUUAAAACAAGCAGAAGACAGAUUGCUACAUGUUGGUGUGAUCGGAACCUUGGCAGAGAAGGAGAAAUAAGCAAGAAAAUUUGAGCUAAUAAUGUAAAGUGUGAUCACAUAGAAGGUGCUGCGCAAAAAAAAAGGAAGGAAGGGAUGUGGAAAGAAAAUUGAAAUAAAGAAAGAAAUUAAAAUCUUGUACAUAAAAAUAGAGCUGAAUACAGUGGAAUAAAAUGAAGGCUAUGCACUUAAUAAUACGUGAAGGUUUGGUUGCACAUUUUACUAUUUAGACUAAGGUUAUGUAGCAUACUACUCUUUUAUUUGCCUUUCUUUUUAGUUUGAAGAUAUGCUCUCCUUUGACAACAAUGUAGGAAAAAGCCCUAUUUCCUCCCAGGGAUGCAGAUAGCUGAUAAAAGGGAUUUCUGAGUCAGGCAUGAUGUUUAAAUAUUCCUAUGAGGAUGCGGCUUUUAGUUAGGUUUAUAUUUCCUCUUUUGACUGCAUGCAUUUUAAGAGCCAUCUUAUCCUAAGCUCUAUCCACAUCACUACAGUGGUGUAGACGGGGACACGAACAAGCACUGUCAGCUGGCAAGGACCACAGUGCCAGAUUCAAAGAUAAACGAGGUGAAUACAGUUUGCGACUGGAAUUGUAUAGAUGGCUUUCUCCUUCAGCCACCCUAAACCUGUCUCCACUUACUGGAAUACAUGUACAAGUUGCAUGAGAUUUUUUCCUGAUGAGAAAACUCUAAUUAUUUUUCCAUGGUUAUGUUCAUCAUUUACAUCAAAUUUAUAUCCUCAGCCUAGAGAACCGAAGCCUCAUGGUGUUUUAUUUUCAGUAGAGUCCCUGUCAUAUGAACUGAGUAUAGGACGGUCUGUUGUUCUUGAUAAAAUCAGUUUGAUAAAGAUCAGCUGUGGUCUCAAUGCAUCUUUGGUGACUGACCGCAUGGAACGCACAAUCAGGUCUCCUUCAGGUUGGAAGGAAUACCUUUAUUUGGAGGCAUGUCAGUUCAUUUUUCUCACUUCAAAUUCAUCAUUAUGACUUCUUGAGGCCAGAUCUAAUUUUGCAGUAGCCAGGAACCUGUCCAUCUUGGAGCAGCAAGCCCCUCAACUCUGGAGCACAAAUGAUCACUGAUACAGUCUGCAUAAAAUCAUCUGCCUCUAGUUUGACAGCCAUGAGAAGAGCCCUGGGGGCAAAAAAAAGCCACAGCCUUAAAUCUCUUCACUCAGAAAUUACAAAGAAGAUUAAAAUAAAUAAAUAAAUGUAAAGGACUGAGCAAGCAAGCCUACAAAACAAACAAAAAACAAACAAAAAACAACCAAAAAAUAAAACUAACAAAACCCCAGCUUAUUUUACCAUGGAAAUAAACAUUCCUAGUUGUGAACCCAAGAAAAUUUAUAUUCAGUAAUUCAGCUAGUGAAUUAUAAAUUGAUUUAUCAUUUGGGAAGGUGAGUAUAGAAACAGAAGGUCUCUAUAGCUAGAACUACUCAGCAUUUCAAAAUACGUAGACAAAACAAAAACAAAAACAAAACUGAACAGAGGAACACUGCAGCAAUGAACAGUAUUAGGAUAGAAUGUUGCGGUUUGCAGAGAGAGAGAAUGUUUGCCGUUUUGUGUAUGACCUCAAAGCCAUAAGGGAAUAAGAGCAGUGUUUUCAAUUGCUUGAAAGUUUCUGCAUUCAAUCCUUCACCCCAUAUAGGUUGAGAGAGAGGGAGGUCAGUUCUUACUGAUUACUUCUCAGUGCUCUUCUACUAUUUGCACUGUCACUUCCAUUCAGGGUAAUGAUGUGUGCUGUUAUUUGCACAGAGGGUCCCUGGAGUUUUGAGACCACAACAGUUUCAUGUAGGAGUCCAAAAAGGAAAGAUUUAAGAAUUCUGCAGACAUUGAUUUCUCUGUCUUCUAUUAAAAGAAAAAAUCAGUUAUCUCAUAAAAAAGUGGACUCAUCUCAGAUUACAGAACAACUAUAGAAUAACAAUGAAAAAAGCAUCAAUGUGGUCAAAUGAAUGAAAAAGGGAUCAAAAGAUUUUUUUAGUGAAGAUCAUUUUAUAUCAUUAACAGCCAAGAAGUUACAAAUACAGUUAACUGUACACUAAACAUCUGUGUUGAACAUCUAUUUGUUCUCUUAAUUAAGAAAAUCAUUUGUAAUUUGUAUUUGACAUUUAAGAGUUUUUUAUAGCCAUUUAUCUAUGCUUCAUGGGAAAAUGUACCAAACAGCAUUUUCAGUUUAUUUUUCUAAAUAAAUGUGUUGUUUGUA
Molecule: non-coding RNA, 11512 nt
Organism: Vicugna pacos (alpaca)
Lineage: Eukaryota; Metazoa; Chordata; Mammalia; Artiodactyla; Camelidae
Source: RefSeq, a predicted model, not a curated record